Molecule: ribosomal RNA, 305 nt
Filed under: uncultured bacterium
Lineage: Bacteria
Description: partial 16S ribosomal RNA
Rfam family: Bacterial small subunit ribosomal RNA
Source: RNAcentral
ACAGCAGCAGCCGCGGGAAUACGGAGGGUGCAAGCGUUAAUCGGAAUUACUGGGCGUAAAGCGCACGCAGGCGGUCUGACAAGUCAGAUGUGAAAUCCCCGGGCUUAACCUGGGAACUGCAUUUGAAACUGUCAGGCUGGAGUCUUGUAGAGGGGUGUAGAAUUCCAGGUGUAGCGGUGAAAUGCGUAGAGAUCUGGAGGAAUACCGGUGGCGAAGGCGGCCCCCUGGACAAAGACUGACGCUCAGGUGCGAAAGCGUGGGGAGCAAACAGGAUUAGAUACCCCGGUAGUCCCUGUCUCUUAUAC